This 252-nucleotide ribosomal RNA is filed under the name uncultured bacterium. RNAcentral describes it as "partial 16S ribosomal RNA". It matches the Rfam family "Bacterial small subunit ribosomal RNA", at positions 524 to 776 of the family's 1533-position model. The record is from RNAcentral.
UACGGAGGUGCAAGCGUUAUCCGGAAUGAUUGGGCGUAAAGCGUCCGCAGGUGGCAAUGUAAGUCUGCUGUCAAAGCGUCUGGCUCAACCAGAUAAAGGCAGUGGAAACUACAUAGCUAGAGUAAGGUAGGGGUAGAGGGAAUUCCUGGUGUAGCGGUGAAAUGCGUAGAGAUCAGGAAGAACACCGGUGGCGAAAGCGCUCUGCUGGACCUUAACUGACACUGAGGGACGAAAGCUAGGGGAGCGAAUGGG